Molecule: transfer RNA, 73 nt
Filed under: Aminobacter sp. MDW-2
Lineage: Bacteria; Pseudomonadati; Pseudomonadota; Alphaproteobacteria; Hyphomicrobiales; Phyllobacteriaceae
Description: tRNA-Met
Rfam family: tRNA (bases 3-66)
About the family: Transfer RNA (tRNA) molecules are approximately 80 nucleotides in length. Their secondary structure includes four short double-helical elements and three loops (D, anti-codon, and T loops).
Source: RNAcentral
GCAGAGCGAGGCCUGCUGAAAAGCUCGCUUGGCUCAUAACCAAGAGGACGCAGGUUCGAAUCCUGCCCCUGCA